UUUCUUUUUACAGACAGAAUACGGAUUAACGGACGAACAAGUUGCAGAAUUCAAAGAAGCUUUUCAACUUUUCGAUCAGAACGGCGAUGGGUGUAUUGAAGCUGCAGAAUUGGGGGUCAUUAUGAGAUCGUUGGGUCAUCGACCCACGGAAGCAGAACUUAGACAGAUGGUCACUUUAGUGGAUGAAGAUGGUAAAUGA
Molecule: long non-coding RNA, 199 nt
Organism: Centruroides sculpturatus (bark scorpion)
Lineage: Eukaryota; Metazoa; Arthropoda; Arachnida; Scorpiones; Buthidae
Exons: 2
Source: RefSeq, a predicted model, not a curated record